Molecule: ribosomal RNA, 514 nt
Filed under: uncultured bacterium
Lineage: Bacteria
Description: partial 16S ribosomal RNA
Rfam family: Bacterial small subunit ribosomal RNA
Source: RNAcentral
GAUGAACGCUGGCGGCGUGCCUAAUACAUGCAAGUCGAGCGAACUGAUUAGAAGCUUGCUUCUAUGACGUUAGCGGCGGACGGGUGAGUAACACGUGGGCAACCUGCCUGUAAGACUGGGAUAACUUCGGGAAACCGAAGCUAAUACCGGAUAGGAUCUUCUCCUUCAUGGGAGAUGAUUGAAAGAUGGUUUCGGCUAUCACUUACAGAUGGGCCCGCGGUGCAUUAGCUAGUUGGUGAGGUAACGGCUCACCAAGGCAACGAUGCAUAGCCGACCUGAGAGGGUGAUCGGCCACGCUGGGACUGAGACACGGCCCGGACUCCUACGGGGGGCAGCAGGAGGGAGUCUUCCGCAAUGGACGAAAGUCUGACGGAGCAACGCCGCGUGAGUGAUGAAGGCUUUCGGGUCGUAAAACUCUGCUGUUAGGGAAGAACAAGUACGAGAGUAACUGCUCGUACCUUGACGGUACCUAACCAGAAAGCCACGGCUAACUACGUGCCAGCAGCCGCCGUAA